GAGUUCAAGAGUACGUGAAACUGCUUAGAGGUUAAGCCCGAUGAACCUGAAUAUCCGUUAUGGAAAAUUCAUCACUAAUACUGUGUUAUAUAUCAUAACAUAGAAAUAGUGUGCAAUUUUUUCAUAUAAGGACAUUGUAAUCUGUUAAUGUAUUAAAUAUUUAUCAUAAGAUCUUUUACUUAAGUUUAUUCAAAUUAGUUAUUUUCGGAUUUCUAACAUAGAUUAAAUGUAUUAGAUUUGAUAAAUCAUUGACAGAUUAAAUUAUAUAUAGUGCUUAAAUUUUUCGGAAUUUUACAAUGUUAAAUUAAUCUAUUGAUUUAUUUAUAUUGUAUGCACUUAUAUGAUUAACAAUGCGAUAGAUUCAGGAUACCUUCGGGACCCGUCUUGAAACACGGACCAAGGAGUCUAACAUAUGUGCAAGUCAUUGGGUAUUUUUAAUAAAACCCAAUGGCAUAAUUAACUUAACUGUUUUAAAUGGGAUUAGUUUAUAUUUUAUUAUGAAAUAUGAAUUCAAUCCCGGGGCGUUCUAUACAGUUAUGCAUAAUGAUAUUUAUAUUAUUUAUGCCUCUAACUAGAGCG
This 579-nucleotide ribosomal RNA is filed under the name Chalcosyrphus nemorum. RNAcentral's name for it is "eukaryotic LSU rRNA". The record is from RNAcentral. Lineage: Eukaryota; Metazoa; Arthropoda; Insecta; Diptera; Syrphidae.